This 394-nucleotide ribosomal RNA is filed under the name uncultured bacterium. RNAcentral's name for it is "partial 16S ribosomal RNA". It matches the Rfam family "Bacterial small subunit ribosomal RNA", at positions 523 to 918 of the family's 1533-position model. The record is from RNAcentral.
AUACGUAGGGGGCGAGCGUUGUCCGGAAUGACUGGGCGUAAAGGGCGUGUAGGCGGCGGUGUAAGUCUGGAGUGAAAGUCCCGCAUUCAAUGUGGGAAUUGCUUUGGAUACUGCAGUGUUAGAGUGCGGAGGAGGUAAGUGGAAUUCCCAGUGUAGCGGUGAAAUGCGUAGAGAUUGGGAGGAACACCAGUGGCGAAGGCGACUGAAGGGGCCGUAACUGACGCUGAGGCGCGAAAGCGUGGGGAGCGAACAGGAUUAGAUCCACUGGUAGUCCACGCAGUAAACGAUGAUAACUAACAGCUGGGUCGUAGUGAUUCAGUGGCCAAGCGAAAGCUAUAAGUUAUCCACCUGGGGAGUACGACCGCAAGGUUGAAACUCAAAUGAAUUGACGGGG